UCUUGUCACUUUUGACAGUUACUAUUUUCUUUUUUCUGUUGAAAACUUUAGCCGAAAUUGUCUGAACUGUUUGAACUGAAAAAGUCUCAAGAAGUUUCUUUUAAGUAUCCAAAGAACUCCCAGCGCAGAGGCUGAAGCCAAAGGAGACAUGAUGGUUUUGCAGUGCGAGCAGAUACAAUGCGAUAGCAAGAAGGCGGACACCAUGGAAAUGGUAGCUGCAGCAAGAAAUACACAAACUGCUGUAAAUUAGGCCCACAAUGCCAGAUGAAUGGCAUUCAUAGAAGCAGGACUUGAGUUGUGGAAAAAUGUAGAUAGUAUUCCUAAUCGUAAUUCAUUAAUGAAUCCUACUUAAUAUAACAAAAACAUGUCUUUAAAUGCAUCAACAUGGUACCUAAGUUAUAUACUUUUUUCUAGGCUCUUGAGAAAAAGGAGGAAUAGUUCUAAUUAUGUAAUAACUUGAUUGUUACUGAAUGAUUAUGAGAAUACUCAAAGACUUAUAUGGGAAAUAAGGCUUUUAUCAUUAAUAUUAUUAGUUUUAUUAAAGCUUUGUUGUUUUCCAAGAUGAUUUAGUCAGCAGUGGAUAUCUGACUUUAGAGAACAUAUACUUAGGUAAUUUGGUUAUUCUAGGAAAGAGACUUAAAUAAACAAACUGUGAUUAAUUUGUUGUUUAAAUAAAUAUAAAGUGAAUGUGUA
Non-coding RNA from Plutella xylostella (diamondback moth), 693 nucleotides. The record is from RefSeq and is a predicted model, not a curated record. NCBI's taxonomy places the organism in Eukaryota, Metazoa, Arthropoda, Insecta, Lepidoptera, Plutellidae.